Molecule: ribosomal RNA, 434 nt
Filed under: uncultured bacterium
Lineage: Bacteria
Description: partial 16S ribosomal RNA
Rfam family: Bacterial small subunit ribosomal RNA
Source: RNAcentral
AGCGAACGCUGGCGGCAGGCCUAACACAUGCAAGUCGAACGAACCUUUCGGGGUUAGUGGCGGACGGGUGAGUAACACGUUGGAACGUGCCUUUAGGUUCGGAAUAACUCAGGGAAACUUGUGCUAAUACCGAAUGUGCCCUUCGGGGGAAAGAUUAAUCGCCUUUAGAGCGGCCCGCGUCUGAUUAGCUAGUUGGUUGAGGUAAUGGCUCACCAAGGCGACGAUCAGUAGCUGGUCUGAGAGGAUGAUCAGCCACAUUGGGACUGAGACACGGCCCAAACUCCUACGGGAGGCAGCAGGGGGGAAUCUUGCGCAAUGGGCGAAAGCCUGACGCAGCCAUGCCGCGUGAAUGAUGAAGGUCUUAGGAUUGUAAAAUUCUUUCACCGGGGACGAUAAUGACGGUACCCGGAGAAGAAGCCCCGGCUAACUUCGUG